UCCAAAACAGGCACCCAAGCUCUAAUGCCUUGCCAUUUUCUGCUUAAUUAUUGAAUGAAGAUAACGAUGGCCCAAUUUCUUCACUGGAAAGCAUCCAAAACUUACAGACCACAAAAGAAGCAUUUUACAACCAGAAAAAAGUCAUAGAUCAGUCACUUAACUUUUCAAAAUUACGAAUUGAUCAUUCUUCACUUCGACGACCCCAUGAACUCUGGCGAACUCCCCACAUCGUGGAAUUUCCGAUACCACCUCUGGUGAACGGAGAUUCAUCACUGCCGAUCCUCUUCUUUCCUUUUUCCUACCUCGUCUGAUCCUACGCAGCCAUCAAAGGAUUCUCUUCCUUGCUUCCACGUCGUGCCAACCCGUGUUGACAACAUCAUCCAUUUUACUUAUUUGGCUUAUAACUCCUUCAUCUGAGGUCUGACUUUGCUCUGGUUUGAACCGU
This 445-nucleotide long non-coding RNA is filed under the name Linum usitatissimum (flax). Its description in RNAcentral is "long non-coding RNA (LUSI_LNC002478)". Lineage: Eukaryota; Viridiplantae; Streptophyta; Magnoliopsida; Malpighiales; Linaceae. The record is from RNAcentral.